RNAcentral lists this RNase P RNA (432 nucleotides) under Methylobacterium variabile. RNAcentral describes it as "bacterial RNase P". It matches the Rfam family "Bacterial RNase P class A". Rfam says of the family: Ribonuclease P (RNase P) is a ubiquitous endoribonuclease, found in archaea, bacteria and eukarya as well as chloroplasts and mitochondria. Its best characterised activity is the generation of mature 5'-ends of tRNAs by cleaving the 5'-leader elements of precursor-tRNAs. Cellular RNase Ps are ribonucleoproteins. The record is from RNAcentral. Lineage: Bacteria; Pseudomonadati; Pseudomonadota; Alphaproteobacteria; Hyphomicrobiales; Methylobacteriaceae.
UCAGCCGGCCGGGCGGCCGCUCCGGUCCUGUCGGCGGGUCUCCCGCGCGGGAGGGCCGGGGAGGAAAGUCCGGGCUCCAUGAAGAGACGGUGCCGGAUAACGUCCGGCGGGGGCGACCCCAGGGACAGUGCCACAGAGAGCAGACCACCGCAUCGCGGGCCCUUCGGGACCCGCCGCGGCCAGGGUGAAAGGGUGCGGUAAGAGCGCACCGCGGACGCGGCAACGCGGACGGCACGGCAAACCCCACCGGGAGCAAAACCGAAUAGGGGCGGCACGCGCGGCUCGCCGCGCAGGGCUUUCUUCAGGCCCGUCGCCCGGGUUGGUUGCUCGAGGCGGCCGGCAACGGCCGUCCCAGAGGAAUGGCCGCCACGUCCGGGGGACCUUCGGGUCGUCCGGGCCAUACAGAACCCGGCUUACAGGCCGGCUGAUACC